RNAcentral lists this ribosomal RNA (253 nucleotides) under uncultured bacterium. RNAcentral describes it as "partial 16S ribosomal RNA". It matches the Rfam family "Bacterial small subunit ribosomal RNA", at positions 524 to 776 of the family's 1533-position model. The record is from RNAcentral.
UACAGAGGGUGCGAGCGUUAAUCGGAAUUACUGGGCGUAAAGCGCGCGUAGGCGGCUUUGCAAGUCGGGUGUGAAAUCCCCAGGCUUAACCUGGGAACUGCAUUCGAGACUGCAUUGCUAGAGUAUGGGAGAGGGAAGUGGAAUUUCCGGUGUAGCGGUGAAAUGCGUAGAUAUCGGAAGGAACAUCAGUGGCGAAAGCGGUUCUCUGGGCAUUACCUGACGCUGAGGAGCGAAAGUGUGGGGAGCGAACAGG